RNAcentral lists this ribosomal RNA (493 nucleotides) under uncultured type I methanotroph R8. Its description in RNAcentral is "bacterial SSU rRNA". It matches the Rfam family "Bacterial small subunit ribosomal RNA", at positions 383 to 885 of the family's 1533-position model. Lineage: Bacteria; Pseudomonadati; Pseudomonadota; Gammaproteobacteria; Methylococcales; Methylococcaceae. The record is from RNAcentral.
CCGAUCCAGCAAUACCGCGUGUGUGAAGAAGGCCUGAGGGUUGUAAAGCACUUUCAAUUGGGAGGAAAACCUGCCGGUCAAUACCCGGCAGCUUGACAUUACCUUUAGAAGAAGCACCGGCUAACUCCGUGCCAGCAGCCGCGGUAAUACGGAGGGUGCGAGCGUUAAUCGGAAUUACUGGGCGUAAAGCGUGCGUAGGCGGUUAUUUAAGUCAGAUGUGAAAGCCCCGGGCUUAACCUGGGAACUGCAUUUGAUACUGGGUAACUAGAGUUUAGUAGAGGAGAGUGGAAUUUCAGGUGUAGCGGUGAAAUGCGUAGAGAUCUGAAGGAACACCAGUGGCGAAGGCGACUCUCUGGACUAAAACUGACGCUGAGGUACGAAAGCGUCGGUAGCAAACAGGAUUAGAUCCCUUGGUAGUCACGCCGUAAACGAUGUACUAGCCGUGGGCUUUACAGCCUAUGGGCACUUACCAUUAAGUGACCUUGGGAGACGC